RNAcentral lists this ribosomal RNA (637 nucleotides) under uncultured Bacillota bacterium. Its description in RNAcentral is "uncultured Firmicutes bacterium partial 16S ribosomal RNA". Lineage: Bacteria; Bacillati; Bacillota. The record is from RNAcentral.
GCAUCCAACGCGUUGGGAGCUCUCCCAUAUGGUCGACCUGCAGGCGGCCGCGAAUUCACUAGUGAUUCGUAUUACCGCGGCUGCUGGCACAUAGUUAGUCGUCACUUUCUCUACGCGUACCGUCAGGACUUUCGCCCUUCUUCCGCGUCAACAGAGGUUUACAAUCCUUAGACCUUCUUCCUUCACGUAGUGUCGCUCGGCCAUGGUUGCCCACGUUGCCGAAUAUUCCUCACUGCUGCCUCCCGUAGGAGUGGGGACCGUGUCUCAGUUCCCCUGUGGCCGUUCAUUCUCUCAAACCAGCUACGCAUCAUUGCCUAGGUGGGAUUUACCCACACCCAAUAGCUAAUACGACUUAUUCUCAUCAACUAGCGAAGGUCUAAAGACCUCCUUUCAUUACGUAAACGAAUACGCAACAAAUGCGGUAUUACCCACGAUUUCUCAUGGCUAUCCCCCACUAAUUGGCAGAUCAAAUAAGCAUUACUCACCCGUACGCCGCUAAAGAUAAUAUUGCUAUCAUCUUCCGCUCGACUUGCAUGUGUUAAGCACACUACCAACGUUCACCCUGAGCCAUGAUCAAACUCUAAUCGAAUUCCCGCGGCCGCCAUGGCGCCCGGGAGCAUGCGACGUCAGGCCCAAU